AUUGAACGCUGGCGGCAGGCCUAACACAUGCAAGUCGAACGGUAACAGGAAGAAGCUUGCUUCUUUGCUGACGAGUGGCGGACGGGUGAGUAAUGUCUGGGAAACUGCCUGAUGGAGGGGGAUAACUACUGGAAACGGUAGCUAAUACCGCAUAACGUCGCAAGACCAAAGAGGGGGACCUUCGGGCCUCUUGCCAUCGGGUGUGCCCAGAUGGGAUUAGCUAGUAGGUGGGGUAACGGCUCACCUAGGCGACGAUCCCUAGCUGGUCUGAGAGGAUGACCAGCCACACGGGAACUGAGACACGGUCCAGACUCCUACGGGAGGCAGCAGUGGGGAAUAUUGCACAAUGGGCGCAAGCCUGAUGCAGCCAUGCCGCGUGUAUGAAGAAGGCCUUCGGGUUGUAAAGUACUUUCAGCGGGGAGGAAGGGAGUAAAGUUAAUACCUUUGCUCAUUGACGUUACCCGCAGAAGAAGCACCGGCUAACUCCGUG
RNAcentral lists this ribosomal RNA (490 nucleotides) under uncultured bacterium. RNAcentral's name for it is "partial 16S ribosomal RNA". It matches the Rfam family "Bacterial small subunit ribosomal RNA", at positions 30 to 507 of the family's 1533-position model. The record is from RNAcentral.